AGAUUUCACCAUCUCUUUGGAGGCCUGGGUCAGCACCACCGUCUGCUGCCAGCCCUCCCAGCGUGCACGAGCUAUCCCUGCUCCCAGGAUACUGAGGUAAAGGGUGCUUCAGAGCAACUACUGAAGUCAUGACUGUGGAUGUGACCAGGACUGUCCUGCACACACAGCUGAAGAAAGAGCUGGCUGGAGAGAUGUCCAAAGGUGAAUGCCAGCCAGUCAUGCUGUCAGUGCAGCAGCCCAGAGCCUGCCAGAAGCUCCCACCAGCCCCAUCCUCAGCCACCCUCUGCCUGCCAUCAUCCUUCACCUCUCCUCAUGUACAUCAUGAUGUACCACAUCAACUCUUUCUUACUCCUUUACUCUGCCUUUCAAACAUUGCCUUGUAUGCACAGUUUAGUUGCAUAGCGUUCCUUGCAUUUCUACCACUCACUGAUAGGAGGUGUUUCCUUGUUAGAGAUCCUUCACUAUUUCCCUUUUCUCAUCCAGUUAAAAUACCUGAAAAUCUAUCUGUUAUGGAGCAGCAGAUAACGACCUCCAAAUGACCCGUACAGUGUUUAUUGUCACGUUUUGAUUAUUUGUGUACCUUGCUGGAGAAAUGACAGUCAAAAAGGGAUUGCUGAAUCAGAUAAAAAAAUAAGCGACUGCAGCAUAAAACAUUUGCAAACAGCUUUUUGUGCAACAAAGAAAGUGCAAAAAUAUGGCAGAUAAUGCUCCUGAUUAGCACCUUGGAUUAAUUAAAAUAGAAGUUUAAAUGUAUGGUAACCUUUUGGAAAAGAAAGAGUGAAAAAGAAAAAGAAAGAAGAUUGUAAACUUAGUAUUCCAAAGCAGAACUAUUUAUAUUACAUAAUGUCUAGGAGGGAUGGCAUGCAUGAAAUGUGUUUGGAAUUUUGUAGCAUCUAUAGUGCAGUUUAAAAGCCAAUAAUAAGAUUUAACUAAAGAACAAUUCUGUAAAAGCUACAGAAAUGCCCUGGAUUCUUGCACCAGCACAUGUCUCUACUGUAUUCAUUUGGUGAGUCACCACUGCAUGCAAUAGCAGCUUCUAAGUGGAAACCCGGGGAAAUCAGUGUGCAUUAUCCAACAUACUGAAUACUGAAGCAGCAGUUACUAGAGAUCACUAAAUAAGCAAAUAUAAAUAAUGCUGUUAUAUAGCUAGCACAGGAUUGUGUAUUUCCAUUUCCAUCUAAAAGAAAAAGGAACAAAAUUAAUUAGUGGAAGAGUAUUUGAAAGAAGUUCAUGAAAUGAUUUGAACAGACAGAUAACAAUUGCAUCAGCCAGUAUG
Molecule: long non-coding RNA, 1276 nt
Organism: Cygnus atratus (black swan)
Lineage: Eukaryota; Metazoa; Chordata; Aves; Anseriformes; Anatidae
Exons: 3
Source: RefSeq, a predicted model, not a curated record